Molecule: RNA transcript, 2850 nt
Organism: Athalia rosae (coleseed sawfly)
Lineage: Eukaryota; Metazoa; Arthropoda; Insecta; Hymenoptera; Athaliidae
Exons: 10
Source: RefSeq, a predicted model, not a curated record
UUUCCUGGUUGUGACCGGUUGAUUUAUCGAUGAUCUCAUUAACUGCAGUCGGUAUGCACCCCUAAGUCUGAGGAAUACGAUGUCGACAUACCGGCGAUAGUGCAUAUCGGCUCUGAUGCAGUUGGGAACACCGACACACAGCGUCAGCUAGAUGUCCCUACCGUACGCAAACUGCAUGCUCUGUUUGUCUUGCAAGCGCGUUUGCCUCCACGCUGCAUCGCAUCAGUCUGUCAGUUAUCGCAGCAAUGUCCGCGUUUAUUGUUGUAUAACCUUUCAGUUGUCAAAUAUGCAAAUCUCAGAAAUGCGUAUUACAUUGUUGAAAUUAUCUCAAUCAUUGACUGGCAAUGUUUUCACCUACCUGAGUUAAGAAAGGAUUGUGUGCAUUGAGUACAGUGUAUAUACUGAAAAAGAUAUUUUGCUUACAUUUGAGCUUCUUGUCAGUCCAAUGAAAAUAAAUUUGGACUUUGGGAUUGUUCAUCGCUAAAAGUGAUUCAUCAAUGAUUUUCCUUGAAACAAAUGAUAUAAAGAAAUUUGAAUCUUUCAGACCACACCCAAAUACAGAAGAUAAAUCCUGCAGUCAACCUUAAAAUGUUGGCCAAAAUUAUGCAUUCAUGUCUGUUGUGGUUCAUACUUUUUAAUGCUGUUCUUGGAUCACGUUCAGUAUAUUUCUGUGAUACAUGCAAUGAGAUAUAUGCUGAGAAAUAUUAUUCAGAUGAUAAUCGGACAUGUUAUCCCACCAACUGCACUUCUAGUGGCUGUGAUAAUAGACGUUUCAAGAACUCACUGAAGCCCUUCCAAACCCAAAAAAGCCUCGGAAAUUUUCAAUUAAGUUUCUACGUAUGGCCAGAAUAUAAAGUCGGCAGAGUUAGUACCACUGUCCUGAACUUGACUGUGACAAAUAUCACGUUUUAUGAAUUGACAAUACAACUGAGCAACCCAGUAACCCCACCGUAUUGUCAAACUAUGAGGUUGAAUCCAAAUGUAACUGGGCAAUUGCCAGAAAAACUGUCAUUCAACUUUAUCAUGAAACCUGGGAUGGACACAAUUCUUGGAUUUGAGGCAGUAGGAGAGAAUUCUAAAUACGUUGGAGAAUAUCGGUUUAUACCUUUUGCUCCUUGGGAUAUCGCAAAGGCAAAUUUGACCGGUUAUCCAAUAUUUAUGUAUGUGGAUACGACUUGCUCUGAUAGCGUACAAUUGUACGUACAACCGAUGCCUGACCACUUCAAUGUAAAUACCUAUGAAGGGUGGUUUAAACUUAAUAAGACUACGGUUGGAGAACCGUUCUACUUAGUUAAAGAUAAAAUGACUCACAUACAGAAUACUUAUACAGAGGACAAUGGUCUUUAUCACUUUGAGAUUAUUCCAAAACAUCCUGAUUGCGGUGACAGAGGCUGUAAACCAAUCACUAGUGCAGCAUUUCAAAUGAAACAGAGCAGUGGACGGGUGAUUAUAAUGAUAGUCAGUCCAGUAGUGGCAGUGGGUGUGUUUAUCCUCGCUUCCACGCUGGGAUUUAAAUGGUGGAAGCGCAAAGUAUUUCUACACUUACCAAAAAGAGGGCCAAGUAUUCUGCUGAUGUAUGACCCUGUCUGUGAUGCUCACGUUCGUGUUAUGACCGAAUUUGCAAAAUAUCUAAGGGCCUGCCACGUAGAUGCCAUGAUCGACAAAUCUGAUGUUCCAAACGAACAAUCGAAGGAUCCAAUAACUUGGUGCACAAAGGCAUUUCGAAAGGCCACACUUAUUUUACUUGCAUUAUCUCCGUCAGUAGACAGUUCUGUCCAAACUACCGAAACGGCUUAUCGAAAUCUGUUUAAUCAUACCCUCAACUUGAUAAAAACGUGUCAUGAGCGAAAAAAUAAAGAAAUUAUACUCAUCAAAUUCCCCUACACUGAAACGGACAGAAUACUAACUGUCGAAGGUUUAAUCAGUGACAAACCUAUCAAGAUGCCUACAGGCCGGAAGCUCCUCUUGAAGAAAAUUUAUGGCGUAUUUUACAAAGAACUUGAUCGGAUAUGUACUAAAGAGUUUGAUGAAACUAUAAAAUCGGCAACAGAAAACAUUCUUCAUCGACGACCUCUCACUCCUUCAGAUGAGGUCACUCGAUUGAUGCCCUCAGAGCGUGAUCGGGAUCCUGAAUCAAAGAGUGAUGAUGAGUCUUCCGACACUUUGGACAUGAUUGAAGCGACUGUACCUGAUAGUAGUGAGGGUAAGGAAAAACCUGUAGUAGAUAUGCACACUUUAUUUUGGGGACGAAGCGAUGACAGCACACAAGAUCCAGAAAAACCAAGGACACCACAAAAAUCGCCUGCGCCGGCAUCUGCAAUAGAUAUCCGGCAAUUAUUGGCGUUCGAUCAAUAAUCGCGGUUCCCACUGGUGUAGCAGAUAUAUGUACGGUGACGUUUGUCAAAAUGCACCAUAAUGACUGAUUAUGAAUUGAUAUUGACAAACGGAGUUGCAUACAGCACUAGAAAUCGGUAGCUGGCGGUUCCAAAACUUGGUUAAUGGAUACCAUAAGGUAGCACAAGAAUCAAUCAAGUACAAGAAAGUAAUGGGAACUAAUGUUUUACAAUUUUUCAUAUCCGAUUCGGUUCCAAAACUGAUUGCAUUUUCCAAAAAUUUAAAAAUAAUGUUGAUUACGUUUUUACAUUCGACAUAAGUGUGUAAUUAUAUUUUAUUACAUAGUAAUUACAAGCCAAGAAUAAUUGCAACUUACUUACUACAGUGCCACAGAUUCAUCUUGCUUUUCAUAAGAACUUUUAUUGUUAUAUAUCGUAAAUAGAUGAUGUUAAAACUAGUUUGGUUUUUAAAUGUAUAAAGUCAUAUCGAUCAAAGUAAUUAUAUAGAUUACUGGAA